Molecule: ribosomal RNA, 253 nt
Filed under: uncultured bacterium
Lineage: Bacteria
Description: partial 16S ribosomal RNA
Rfam family: Bacterial small subunit ribosomal RNA
Source: RNAcentral
GACGAGCCACCCGAACGUUAUUCGGAAUUACUGGGCUUAAAGGGUGCGUAGGCGGUGUAGCAAGUCGGGAGUGAAAUACCCCAGCUUAACUGAGGAAUUGCUUUCGAUACUGCUGCGCUUGGGUGAGACAGAGGUAAGCGGAACUUAGGGUGGAGCGGUGAAAUGCGUUGAUAUCCUAAGGAACACCGGUGGCGAAGGCGGCUUACUGGGUCUCAACUGACGCUGAGGCACGAAAGCUAGGGUAGCAAACGGG